Molecule: non-coding RNA, 111 nt
Organism: Triticum aestivum (bread wheat)
Lineage: Eukaryota; Viridiplantae; Streptophyta; Magnoliopsida; Poales; Poaceae
Source: Rfam
CAAAUACUCCCUCCGUCCGGAAAUACUUGUCAUCAAAAUGGAUAAAAAGAGAUGUACCUAUUCUUUUUAUCCAUUUUGAUGACAAGUAUUUCCGGACGGAGGGAGUAGAAA